UACACAGGUCCUGUUCUCUCAGCUGAGAUCCCCAGCUGUCAGGGGAGGAAUGACCUUUGGUGUUACUGGAGUGUAUACAGGUAGCCACAAACAUCAGUGCAUGAGAAAUUAUUAAAGGUUUCUCUGUAUCACACAGGUGAAUUUCCUGGUUCUCCUGUCUGGUUUGCAUAUUUGAGGUCCCAUCCUGUUAGUUUCUGUCCUGAAAGAAAAGAGUCAUUGUGUUACUAUUGAUUGGAUAAUACUGAGCUGUUGCAAAUUUCUCCAUUAACUUCAUAAUUCUCAAGUAGGUUUGUUGUUGGUGCAAAUUAUGUCUGUGUGCACCAUGGGAAAGAACAGGGGAAAUAAUAAAGGACAAAAAGGAGAGGAAAACCUCCGGAGAGAGAAAGAGAUGGUUGGAGUGAAGGAGGAUUGUAACUAUUCAUCUAAUCAACCAACUACAAGGGAGUACCGAAAACCUGCAGACACCUGGAUGGAAUUCAUUUGAGAUUUGAUUUACUGAUUUAAGUCGCUUUUACAUAGCACAUGAAUGAAUGGGGUGACAGGUUUAGGGACAAUUAUUUGGAUGUAGCUAGACACCACCAGACAGAACAGGUAGAAAAUGGUGAGACACUUAAAUGAAAGCUGCAAUAUUUGUAUCUUAUUAUUAGAACUAUGAUCCUAUACACAAAUAACGGAUAUUAUCAUGUAUACUGUGUACAGGCCUUCGUAAAAAAAAUAACUGGCUAUUGGCA
Esox lucius (northern pike) is the source of this 731-nucleotide long non-coding RNA. NCBI's taxonomy places the organism in Eukaryota, Metazoa, Chordata, Actinopteri, Esociformes, Esocidae. The record is from Ensembl.